RNAcentral lists this ribosomal RNA (488 nucleotides) under uncultured bacterium. RNAcentral describes it as "bacterial SSU rRNA". It matches the Rfam family "Bacterial small subunit ribosomal RNA", at positions 8 to 507 of the family's 1533-position model. The record is from RNAcentral.
AGAGUUUGAUCAUGGCUCAGGACACGCUGGCGGCGUGCUUAACACAUGCAAGUCGAGCGGAAAGGCCCUUUCGGGGGUACUCGAGCGGCGAACGGGUGAGUAACACGUGAGUAAUCUGCCCUUGGCUUUGGGAUAACUACCGGAAACGGUGGCUAAUACCGGAUAUGACCAUGCUCGGCAUCGGGUGUGGUGGAAAGUUUUUCGGCCAGGGAUGUGCUCGCGGCCUAUCAGCUUGUUGGUGGGGUAAUGGCCUACCAAGGCUUCGACGGUAGCCGGCCUGAGAGGGUGACCGGCCACACUGGGACUGAGACACGGCCCAGACUCCUACGGGAGGCAGCAGUGGGGAAUAUUGGACAAUGGGCGGAAGCCUGAUCCAGCAACGCCGCGUGAGGGAUGACGGCCUUCGGUUGUAAACCUCUUUCAGUACCGACGAAGCGCCGAUGAUGGUGGUGACGGUAGGUACAGAAGAAGCACCGGCCAACUACGUG